CCUGUGUCUGUCUGCUACAGGAUACAUGCGUGACACAUAGGAGAGGAGUUCGUUGAGUGUGAAGGUGUAGGGCUCCUUCCAGAUUUCCGGGAUAAGACCAAGAAAACUACAUGCAGAGGUUAUUUACAUGUACAGGUUGAGGAUCCCUGAAGGUGACAACAGUGUUUCCUGCAUCAUGGGGACAGGCAUGUCCCGGGAUAGCACAAAGGGUUAAUGGGCUCUGCAGAUACAGAAAAGGUCAACGGCACCUGGGGAAUGAUCAACCUUGCUAUGAUUUUUAGGCUGAAUCUUCGUCAAGGGAACAAAGAACUCUCUGCAAUGAACAUAUCACCUGAAACUAAAGGAAGGGACAGUAAGAUGGGACUCGUGUCAAGAGAGGAAAUAGACUACUGCGGACAGACACCAAGGCAGACCCGUGGGCGAAGAAACACUGGGGUGUUGACACAGGACGAGACCUCGGUCCUGGUCUAGGCUGGGCCUCUUUCUACUCAUUCUGCAGAGUUAAUAGUUAAUAAGUAGUGUAGAGCUACACCUUGAUAUUAUCUGUGGUUACUUAGUAAGUGGUGCAUAGUUCUUUCGGUAUAUGGGUCAGUUCUGAGCUACUUGGGUGCGUGUGUUUU
Long non-coding RNA from Mustela lutreola (European mink), 620 nucleotides. RefSeq lists it as uncharacterized. NCBI's taxonomy places the organism in Eukaryota, Metazoa, Chordata, Mammalia, Carnivora, Mustelidae. The transcript has 3 exons. The record is from RefSeq and is a predicted model, not a curated record.